GACGAACGCUGGCGGCGUGCUUAACACAUGCAAGUCGAACGGUAAGGCCCUUCGGGGUACACGAGUGGCGAACGGGUGAGUAACACGUGGGUGAUCUGCCCUGCACUUCGGGAUAAGCCUGGGAAACUGGGUCUAAUACCGGAUAGGACCACUGCCUGCAUGGGUGGUGGUGGAAAGCUUUUGCGGUGUGGGAUGGGCCCGCGGCCUAUCAGCUUGUUGGUGGGGUGAUGGCCUACCAAGGCGACGACGGGUAGCCGGCCUGAGAGGGUGACCGGCGAGACUGGGGCUGGGAUAGUGCCCAGGCUCAUACGGGAGGCAGCAGUGGGGAAUGUUGCACAAUGGGCGCGAGCCUGAAGCAGCGACGCCGCGUGAGGGAUGACGGCCUUCGGGUUGUAAACCACUUUCAGCACCGACGAAGCGCAAGUGACGGUAGGUGCAGAAGAAGGACCGGCCAACUACGUGCCAGCCGCCGCCGUAA
RNAcentral lists this ribosomal RNA (478 nucleotides) under uncultured bacterium. RNAcentral's name for it is "partial 16S ribosomal RNA". It matches the Rfam family "Bacterial small subunit ribosomal RNA", at positions 28 to 523 of the family's 1533-position model. The record is from RNAcentral.